RNAcentral lists this microRNA precursor (95 nucleotides) under Branchiostoma floridae (Florida lancelet). RNAcentral describes it as "microRNA bfl-mir-4892 precursor". The record is from miRBase by way of RNAcentral. Lineage: Eukaryota; Metazoa; Chordata; Leptocardii; Amphioxiformes; Branchiostomatidae.
GGAUAUCCCAGAAGCGCUUUUAGGAUAGAAGCACAUUUUGGAUGCCGGUCUAUCCUAAAAGCGCUUCUAUCCUAAAAGCGCUUUUAGGAUAAACG